AUUGAACGCUGGCGGCAGGCCUAACACAUGCAAGUCGAACGGUAACAGGAAACAGCUUGCUGUUUCGCUGACGAGUGGCGGACGGGUGAGUAAUGUCUGGGAAACUGCCUGAUGGAGGGGGAUAACUACUGGAAACGGUAGCUAAUACCGCAUAACGUCGCAAGACCAAAGAGGGGGACCCUCGGGCCUCUUGCCAUCGGAUGUGCCCAGAUGGGAUUAGCUUGUUGGUGGGGUAACGGCUCACCAAGGCGACGAUCCCUAGCUGGUCUGAGAGGAUGACCAGCCACACUGGAACUGAGACACGGUCCAGACUCCUACGGGAGGCAGCAGUGGGGAAUAUUGCACAAUGGGCGCAAGCCUGAUGCAGCCAUGCCGCGUGUAUGAAGAAGGCCUUCGGGUUGUAAGGUACUUUCAGCGGGGAGGAAGGGAGUAAAGUUAAUACCUUUGCUCAUUGACGUUACCCGCAGAAGAAGCACCGGCUAACUCCGUG
RNAcentral lists this ribosomal RNA (490 nucleotides) under uncultured bacterium. RNAcentral describes it as "partial 16S ribosomal RNA". It matches the Rfam family "Bacterial small subunit ribosomal RNA", at positions 30 to 507 of the family's 1533-position model. The record is from RNAcentral.